UACCUGGUUGAUCCUGCCAGUAGUCAUAUGCUUGUCUCAAAGACUAAGCCAUGCAUGUCUAAGUAUAAGUAUUAUACAGCGAAACUGCGAAUGGCUCAUUAAAACAGUUAUAGUUUAUUUGAUAAUCGAAUUUACAUGGAUAACCGUGGUAAUUCUAGAGCUAAUACAUGCUGGUAUGCCCGACUUUUGCGGAAGGGCGGUAUUUAUUAGAUAACAAGCCAAUAUUCCUCUGGUCUAUUGUGGUGACUCAUAAUAACUGAUCGAAUCGCAAGGCCUUUGGCCGCGAUAAGUCAUUCAAGUUUCUGCCCCAUCAGCUUUCGAUGGUAGUGUAUUGGACUACCAUGGCGUUUACGGGUAACGGAGGAUUAGGGUUCGAUUCCGGAGAGGGAGCCUGAGAAACGGCUACCACAUCUAAGGAAGGCAGCAGGCGCGUAAAUUACCCAAUCCUGACUCAGGGAGGUAGUGACAAGAAAUAACGGACCGAGGUCAUUCGACUUCGGGAUUGCAAUGAGCCGAAUUUACACCCCUUAGCGAGUAUCAAUUGGAGGGCAAGUCUGGUGCCAGCAGCCGCGGUAAUUCCAGCUCCAAUAGC
This 592-nucleotide ribosomal RNA is filed under the name uncultured marine eukaryote. Its description in RNAcentral is "SSU rRNA". It matches the Rfam family "Eukaryotic small subunit ribosomal RNA", at positions 1 to 598 of the family's 1831-position model. The record is from RNAcentral.